This 406-nucleotide ribosomal RNA is filed under the name uncultured bacterium. RNAcentral's name for it is "partial 16S ribosomal RNA". It matches the Rfam family "Bacterial small subunit ribosomal RNA", at positions 30 to 526 of the family's 1533-position model. The record is from RNAcentral.
AUUGAACGCUGGCGGCAGGCCUAACACAUGCAAGUCGAGCGAGCGGCGGACGGGUGAGUAAUGUCUGGGAAACCGCCUGCUGGAGGGGGAUAACUACUGGAAACGGUAUCUAAUACCGCAUACCAUCAGAUGUGCCCCGAUGGGAUUAGCUGGUAGGUGGGGUAACGGCGCACCUAGGCGACGAUCCCUAGCUGGUCUGAGAGGAUGACCAGCCACACUGGGACUGAGACACGGUCCAGACUCCUACGGGAGGCAGCAGUGGGGAAUAUUGCACAAUGGGCGCAAGCCUGAUGCAGCCAUGCCGCGUGUGUGAAGAAGGCCUUCGGGUUGUAAAGCACUUUCAGCAGGGAGGCGUUACCCGCAGAAGAAGCACCGGCUAACUCCGUGCCAGCAGCCGCGGUAAUAC